RNAcentral lists this ribosomal RNA (580 nucleotides) under Papiliotrema laurentii. RNAcentral describes it as "partial large subunit ribosomal RNA". It matches the Rfam family "Eukaryotic large subunit ribosomal RNA", at positions 89 to 658 of the family's 3401-position model. The record is from RNAcentral. Lineage: Eukaryota; Fungi; Basidiomycota; Tremellomycetes; Tremellales; Rhynchogastremaceae.
GCGAGUGAACCGGGAAGAGCUCAAAUUUGAAAUCUGGCGUCCUCAGGGCGUCCGAGUUGUAAUCUAUAGAGGCGUUUUCCGUGCCGGACCGUGUCCAAGUUCCUUGGAACAGGAUAUCAAAGAGGGUGACAAUCCCGUACUUGACACGACGACCGGUGCUCUGUGAUACGUCUUCUACGAGUCGAGUUGUUUGGGAAUGCAGCUCAAAAUGGGUGGUGAGUUCCAUCUAAAGCUAAAUAUUGGCGAGAGACCGAUAGCGAACAAGUACCGUGAGGGAAAGAUGAAAAGCACUUUGGAAAGAGAGUUAAACAGUACGUGAAAUUGUUGAAAGGGAAACGAUUGAAGUCAGUCGUGACCGAGAGGCUCAGCCGGUUCUGCCGGUGUAUUCCCCUCGGUCGGGUCAACAUCAGUUUUGUCCGGUGGAUAAGGGCGGUAGGAAGGUGGCACCCUCGGGUGUGUUAUAGCCUGCCGUCGCAUACAUCGGGUGAGACUGAGGAACGCAGCUCGCCUUUAUGGCCGGGGUUCGCCCACGUCCGAGCUUAGGAUGUUGACAUAAUGGCUUUAAACGACCCGUCUUGAA